AACGACUCUCGACAACGGAUAUCUCGGCUCUUGCAUCGAUGAAGAACGUAGCGAAAUGCGAUACUUGGUGUGAAUUGCAGAAUCCCGUGAACCAUCGAGUCUUUGAACGCAAGUUGCGCCCGAAGCCACUAGGCCGAGGGCACGCCUGCCUGGGUGUCACGC
RNAcentral lists this ribosomal RNA (162 nucleotides) under Rhodosciadium pringlei. RNAcentral describes it as "5.8S ribosomal RNA". It matches the Rfam family "5.8S ribosomal RNA". From Rfam's summary of the family: 5.8S ribosomal RNA (5.8S rRNA) is a component of the large subunit of the eukaryotic ribosome. It is transcribed by RNA polymerase I as part of the 45S precursor that also contains 18S and 28S rRNA. Functionally, it is thought that 5.8S rRNA may be involved in ribosome translocation. The record is from RNAcentral. Lineage: Eukaryota; Viridiplantae; Streptophyta; Magnoliopsida; Apiales; Apiaceae.